GCGGUGGCGCCUACUCGUGCGCUCGCAGCGGCAACACCAACCGUUCGCACGCACCAUCGCAACUGCCAUCGCAAGAGCCGCCCCAUCCAAAAAUUCGUUCGCCCUAUUGCAUCCUUCUUCGAUUCCUCAUAGCCAUGUCUCCCUCACCUCCCUAGUAGCGCCCCUGUGCCAGAUGCUUGCAAGACCGACCAAGGUCCACCCCGAUGUCCUCCAUCUUGAUCUCGCAUAGGUUCCAGGGAGCUUUGUCGUCAUGCUGGGAACAGGGUCCUUGCCGCCGGUUUCCAUCACUACUAGGCAUGCCGCCGUGUCCAGCUCUGCUCCACCCACCUCGAACUUGCUGCAGGUAGGAUACACCAUGCGGGAGGUGACCCCUUUGCAACUUGGCCGGUUCUCAUGCUGAGCUAAGCCUUGUGUUGUCAUGGCGCGUUCAUUGCUGUGCGCCUCCGCCAUGGCCGCUGUCGUGGUGCCUGAUGCAUCUACUACCACUGGCUGCAUGCUCCCUCACCUCGUGAUGCAUGGCCAGGCUGUUGGGAGCCUAACCCCAACGGCCUCCACCUCUACACGACACUUAUGGCGUGGUCGUGGCGAGGCGUGCACCGACAACAAUCGGAGAGCAUGCCAGUGGUGGAGGACGGACUUGGGAGUGAGAAAGAGAAAGGGGACUGGAUUUGUUUGAUAAAUUGGCUUGGCCUCAGCGUCCUGCUGCACCGUAGCAUGGCCAUGUCAGAUGCUGGCAGCGGCGUGACGGGUUUUAGACUGCUAGUGUGUGAUGACGGUAGAUUAAGGACUCAGAUGGGAGAUUUUUUAGUUUGAGAACCCAAAUAAGAAUAUUCUAAAAGUUUAAGGACCCUAGGUGUAAUUUGGCUUGGGCCUUGUUACUGCGUGAAGAGGCCCGUGCAUGGUCUCUCUAGAACUGUAUAUAUACAGCUUCAUUGAUUCAUUCAAAUACUCACUCGUCUCGUAUAAUAUUGGCAAAU
Sorghum bicolor (sorghum) is the source of this 977-nucleotide long non-coding RNA. RefSeq lists it as uncharacterized. The transcript has 2 exons. Lineage: Eukaryota; Viridiplantae; Streptophyta; Magnoliopsida; Poales; Poaceae. The record is from RefSeq and is a predicted model, not a curated record.